GAUGAACGCUGGCGGCGUGCCUAAUACAUGCAAGUCGAGCGAACAGAUGAUGAGCUUGCUCCUCUGACGUUAGCGGCGGACGGGUGAGUAACACGUGGAUAACCUACCUAUAAGACUGGGAUAACUUCGGGAAACCGGAGCUAAUACCGGAUAAUAUAUUGAACCGCAUGGUUCAAUAGUGAAAGACGGUUUUGCUGUCACUUAUAGAUGGAUCCGCGCCGCAUUAGCUAGUUGGUAAGGUAACGGCUUACCAAGGCAACGAUGCGUAGCCGACCUGAGAGGGUGAUCGGCCACACUGGAACUGAGACACGGUCCAGACUCCUACGGGAGGCAGCAGUAGGGAAUCUUCCGCAAUGGGCGAAAGCCUGACGGAGCAACGCCGCGUGAGUGAUGAAGGUCUUCGGAUCGUAAAACUCUGUUAUUAGGGAAGAACAGAUGUGUAAGUAACUAUGCACGUCUUGACGGUACCUAAUCAGAAAGCCACGGCUAACUACGUG
RNAcentral lists this ribosomal RNA (497 nucleotides) under uncultured bacterium. Its description in RNAcentral is "partial 16S ribosomal RNA". It matches the Rfam family "Bacterial small subunit ribosomal RNA", at positions 28 to 507 of the family's 1533-position model. The record is from RNAcentral.